CAGCCGCCGCGGUAAUACAGAGGGUGCGAGCGUUAAUCGGAUUUACUGGGCGUAAAGCGUGCGUAGGCGGCUUCUUAAGUCGGAUGUGAAAUCCCUGAGCUUAACUUAGGAAUUGCAUUCGAUACUGGGAAGCUAGAGUGUGUCAGAGGAUGGUGGAAUUCCCGGUGUAGCGGUGAAAUGCGUAGAGAUCGGGAGGAACAUCAGUGGCGAAGGCGGCCAUCUGGGACAACACUGACGCUGAGGCACGAAAGCGUGGGGAGCAAACAGGAUUAGAUACCCCGGUAGUCCCUGUCUCUUAUAC
This 301-nucleotide ribosomal RNA is filed under the name uncultured bacterium. RNAcentral's name for it is "partial 16S ribosomal RNA". It matches the Rfam family "Bacterial small subunit ribosomal RNA", at positions 509 to 807 of the family's 1533-position model. The record is from RNAcentral.